CGAACCGUCCUGACCGUGUAGCUCAGUUGGAAGAGCAUUGGGCUAGUAUUCCAAAGGUCGUAGGUUCGAAUCCCACCGUGGCCGGGCAUAUUUUUCAAGCUCGCCCGGUGUGGAUAUGCACUCAGAGUAACAUCACAAACAUAUUAUUCACCUGAGUACACAACACCAGCACAGAAAAAAAAAAAUUCAUAUUACAAGAACACAUUGGUAUUGAAAGAACUAGAUACUGUUCCGAAAUAUCACUUACUCGAACCGUCCUGACCGCGUAGCUCAGUUGGAAGAGCAUUGGGCUAGUAUUCCAAAGGUCGUAGCUUCGAAUCCUACCGUGGCCGGGCAUAUUUUUCAAGCUCGCCCGGUGUGGAUAUGCACUCAGAGUAACAUCACAAACAUAUUAUUCACCUGAGUACACAACACCAGCACAGAAAAAAUUCAUAUUACAAGAACACAUUGGUAUUGAAAGAACUAGAUACUGUUCCGAAAUAUCACUUACUCGAACCGUCCUGACCGCGUAGCUCAGUUGGAAGAGCAUUUGGCUAGUAUUCCAAAGGUCGUAGGUUCGAAUCCCACCGUGGCCGGGCAUAUUUUUCAAGCUCGCCCGGUGUGGAUAUGCACUCAGAGUAACAUCACAAACAUAUUAUUCACCUGAGUACACAAC
Non-coding RNA from Paramuricea clavata, 655 nucleotides. NCBI's taxonomy places the organism in Eukaryota, Metazoa, Cnidaria, Anthozoa, Malacalcyonacea, Plexauridae. The record is from the annotation of a GenBank genome assembly.